Molecule: ribosomal RNA, 500 nt
Filed under: uncultured bacterium
Lineage: Bacteria
Description: bacterial SSU rRNA
Rfam family: Bacterial small subunit ribosomal RNA
Source: RNAcentral
ACUCAAAGGAAUAGACGGGGGCCCGCACAAGCGGUGGAGUAUGUGGUUUAAUUCGACGCAACGCGAAGAACCUUACCAAGGCUUGACAUGGAAGCGAAACCCAUAGAGAUAUGGUCCUCCUUCGGGACGCUUCACACAGGUGGUGCAUGGUUGUCGUCAGCUCGUGUCGUGAGAUGUUGGGUUAAGUCCCGCAACGAGCGCAACCCUUGCCGUUAGUAGCCAGCAGGUAAAGCUGGGCACUCUAAUGGGACUGCCGUGGAUAACACGGAGGAAGGUGGGGACGACGUCAAAUCAUCAUGCCCCUUAUGUCUUGGGCUACACACGUACUACAAUGGAUGAGAACAAAGUGACGCGAUCAGGCAACUGUAAGCAAAUCACAAAAAAGCAUUCCCAGUUCGGAUCGUGGGCUGCAACCCGCCCGCGUGAAGUUGGAAUCGCUAGUAAUCGCGAAUCAGCAUGUCGCGGUGAAUACGUUCCCGGGCCUUGUACACACCGCCCGU